UUCCUACGGGGGGCAGCAGUGGGGAAUAUUGCACAAUGGGGGAAACCCUGAUGCAGCGACGCCGCGUGAGUGAAGAAGUAUUUCGGUACGUAAAGCUCUAUCAGCAGGGAAGAAAAACCGGCCUUAGGGCCGCCAGACGGUACCUGACUAAGAAGCCCCGGCUAACUACGUGCCAGCAGCCGCGGUAAUACGUAGGGGGCAAGCGUUAUCCGGAAUUACUGGGUGUAAAGGGAGCGUAGACGGUUACGUAAGUCUGGAGUGAAAGGCCGGGGCCCAACCCCGGGACUGCUCUGGAAACUAUUGAA
RNAcentral lists this ribosomal RNA (305 nucleotides) under uncultured bacterium. Its description in RNAcentral is "bacterial SSU rRNA". It matches the Rfam family "Bacterial small subunit ribosomal RNA", at positions 336 to 640 of the family's 1533-position model. The record is from RNAcentral.